UUGAAAAGAGUUUCAAUAAUACUAUGAUAAAGAUCAUAGUAUAUUUUACUAUCAAAUAAAAUUGAACUUAUGGGAUCACACAAUAAAGAGAUUAGAUCUGUAAUAAGCAAUUAGGCUUAUGAAGUCUUAAUUGAGUUUGGAGAAAUCCCAUUAGGUUUAGGAUAACUUUAAUAGCACAUGGUUGGAUUCAAUUUUCUCUUUACAUUUGAAUUAUUUAUUUAAUAAGA
Molecule: long non-coding RNA, 227 nt
Filed under: Elaeis guineensis (African oil palm)
Lineage: Eukaryota; Viridiplantae; Streptophyta; Magnoliopsida; Arecales; Arecaceae
Description: long non-coding RNA (EGUI_LNC069050)
Source: RNAcentral